UACAGAGACCUCAAGCGUUAUCCGGAAUCAUUGGGCGUAAAGCGUACCGAUAGGUGGUUAAGAAAGUCAGAUGUGAAAUCUCCGAGCUCAACUCGGAAUCUGUCAUUUGAAACUUCUUGACUAGAGGGGCAAAGAGGAAGCUGGAACGAACGGUGUAGUAGUGAAAUGCGUUGAUAUCGUUCGGAACACCAAUAGCGAAGGCAGGCUUCUGGGUGCCACCUGACACUGCUAGGACGAAAGCGUGGGGAGCGAAUGGG
RNAcentral lists this ribosomal RNA (257 nucleotides) under uncultured bacterium. RNAcentral describes it as "partial 16S ribosomal RNA". It matches the Rfam family "Bacterial small subunit ribosomal RNA", at positions 524 to 776 of the family's 1533-position model. The record is from RNAcentral.